UACGGAGGGGGCUAGCGUUGUUCGGAAUUACUGGGCGUAAAGCGCACGUAGGCGGCUUUGUAAGUUAGAGGUGAAAGCCCAGGGCUCAACCCUGGAAUUGCCUUUAAGACUGCAUCGCUUGAAUCAUGGAGAGGUGAGUGGAAUUCCGAGUGUAGAGGUGAAAUGCGUAGAUAUCGGAAGGAACACCAGUGGCGAAAGCGGCUUCCUGGUCCAGCACCGACGUUCAGGCACGAAAGCGUGGGGAGCAAACAGG
RNAcentral lists this ribosomal RNA (253 nucleotides) under uncultured bacterium. RNAcentral's name for it is "partial 16S ribosomal RNA". It matches the Rfam family "Bacterial small subunit ribosomal RNA", at positions 524 to 776 of the family's 1533-position model. The record is from RNAcentral.